CAUUUCUCAAUCCCUCUGUACGUAAAAUUAAAAAUGAAAUAGACUUAGGGGGAAUAUGAUGAAACCUGAGAGGUGAACGACGAGAACACGAGAAUCAGGAUGAUCAACCCAAUCAAAUCGCGGCUCGAAUUCCUCGAAUUUUUUAGCAGAAGAAGAAGGAUCCAUGGCCGUUGCGCUUCGACUUUCUUCUCAGGAAGAGCAGUGCGGAUGACUUGCAGAAUGUGGCUGCUGAUCUCAGGUCAUAUAUUUGGAAACAGAUGGCUGACGCUGGAAUCAAGUUUAUUCCAAGCAACACUUUUUUCGUAUUAUGAUCAAGUGCUUGACACUGCAACUAUGCUCGAGAAGUUGUGUCAGAGCUGAAGGCUGCUGGUGCCACCUGAAUUCAAUUUGAUGAGCCUACACUUGUGAAAGAUCUUGACCCUCACCAGUUACGAACAUUUGCUCAUGCCUAUUCAGAGCUGGAAUCCACCUUAUCUGGUUUAAAUGUUCUGAUCGAGACAUACUUUGCUGAUAUUCUUGCUGAGGCAUACAAAACUCUCACCUCUUUGAAGGGUGUCUCUGGUUAUGGACUCGAUCUAGUUCGUGGAACACAGACUUGAUCUGAUCAAAGGUGGAUUUCCUUCAGACGCUCAAUACCUAAUAUGCAUACACAAUAUACAAAAAUAAGCUAAUAAUGACAGAAAUAAUACAAACUUAUUAUCAAAUACACAAACCUGAAUUAAUACAAAACUGAUGCAGAACAUCAAACAAUAAUCCACCCCAUAUAUGCCAAACGGUUAACUCAUGCUUUUAAGUGCCAAAAGAAAAUUAUUAAAAUCUUUUCAAAGGAAAAAUCUCAAAUGUCAUUUGCCCAAGAGUUUUAUCGAUCAAUUAAAUUACAUAAUAACCCAACAAAAUUUAGAAUCACUUGUAACACUUGAUAAAAAUAUUGGUUGAAUGAAAACUUAAAUUUGUCUUAGGAUUGUUAUCAAUUUAUUCAUCACAACAAACCUACUUGAGUUUUGAGAGUAAUUGUCUCUAGUGAUUUUCGUGAUAGAACAAAUCACCUUUCUUCUAAGAAUAGCAUGUCUAGAAAAUUAAUGAAUGUGUUCAACUAAAUAGAAAAUGACUUUGUUUAUAGACUUGUGGCCAUCCAAGAAGUCAUGCGUUUUUCUAUAAUUUAGUGAUUAAUUUUCAUGAAAUGAUGCAUCCAUUUACGUGGAAACACAAACAACAAUCAUUUAGGGUAUAUUUUGUAAUUGUUAGUAGUUUAGUCAAGGCAUUGUGAAAAUUAAAGGUAAACUUUUCUUGCGUAAUGAUUUAAUCUCAAUACUAAAUUGUUACUAAUUAAAGUUUACUUUAGUUUACAAACUAAAAAGUGUUGGGAUAAAAAUUUUUAUACUUCACUUUUUUAGUUUGAGAUUUGAGAUUUGAGCUAUGAACAUUAGGAAGUGGAUAAGGGAACAACAAGUAAAGAAAAUGGUAUAGUUUGUUGCAAAUAUAGCAAUUUUAUUUCACGUCUCUUAGAAUAAAUUCCUUCACAUAUUUCAUUGUUCACUCAUAAACUUGAAGUUCAUUCAUUCAUACCUUCUUCACAACUCUUCCUCCGUAUGACCUUUCUUUGAAAGAUUCAGAUACAGAAUCACCCCCAAAGCCAAAGUGACCAUAUUUGUCCUUAAUUCCUUCACCACCCCAUCAACAACCUGUUUGUACCCUUCUCUUCUUCUCAACCUUCCACUCUCUUCUCCCAUUUCCUCACUCCUCUUCUCCAACUUCUUCUUUCCCCUCCUCAGCCUUCUCCUCCAUUUUUGACGCACCUUCUUCUUCUUUACCUCCUUCUCGUCUUCUCCAAAGCAUCCCGUAGUUUUGUAUGUAUUUUUCCCUUGUCCUCUGUUUUUUCCUUCUUAGCUAAAUCUUCAACUGGCUGUCCACAGCCCAUGGAGGAUGUCUCGCCGGAUUUUGGGAUCCUCGCGGGUGCUCCGGUUGCCUCCUCUGGCUUUGGAGGAGUGGGGAUUUGUUUCCCACUAGCUUGUGAUUUUGGCCUGUCGUUUUGGCUCUUUGGGGCGUUUGGUCGAACAGUUGGUGGGUAAACAGUGGAUUUUGUGGCAGCGGGUUUUGGAGUGUCGGCUCUUUCGUUUCGGAACGAUCGGAACUUUGGUAGGUGUUUUAUGCCACCGUUUUUUUUUUUCCAAUAAGAUAGACAUCGGGAGCGGGUAUUAUGAUCCAGCUCCGUGGUUCGCUUUGGCUCUCUGGGGCAUUUGAUCCAACAGUUGGUGGGGCGACAGUGGGUUCUGUAGCAGCGGGCUUUAGAGGCUCGUCUCUUUCGUUUUGGCUCUUUGGAGCAUUUGGUCGAACAGUUGGUGGGUCAGCAGUGGGUUUUGUGGCGGCGGGCGGCGGUUGGGAUUCAGCCUUGGGCUUGGGUUACUGAACCGGUGGGAUGUUGGAGGAGGUGGCGGAGGGCUUCUUAGGCUGUUUCACGUAGAGAAUGCCUUGUUCCAAUUUGGAAGAGAUCUUGUCGGUGUCUGCGUCGUCGGGGAUAUCGAUUUCCUUUUGGAAUCGAAGCCACUUGCCGUUGGUGAGCUGCCGGUCGCCGGAGACUCACUUUGGAUGUGUUCUGUUGCCGGCAAUUUCUUCAUAAGAUAUUUAUAUAUAUAUUCCAAAAGGGAUUUUGAUGUGUUUAAUUUGGAUAUUGAUUCGAAAUCUGGACUUCAAACAGCGGCUUUCUGAAAUUGCAAUCCCCAAAUAGGAAUUUCUUUGGGAUUAGUAAUUUCUUCGGUUGAAGCUUUCUUUGUGUUUCCCCGGCCACGGCGGUUGCUUGGAUUCUUCAUUGGUUUAUUUCUCUUAAACACUUUUCCAUAACCUUGAUUUUCAAUAUCAUAUGAUUUUAGAUUC
This is a long non-coding RNA of Cucumis sativus (cucumber), 2871 nucleotides long. RefSeq lists it as uncharacterized. The record is from RefSeq and is a predicted model, not a curated record. The transcript has 3 exons. NCBI's taxonomy places the organism in Eukaryota, Viridiplantae, Streptophyta, Magnoliopsida, Cucurbitales, Cucurbitaceae.